Molecule: ribosomal RNA, 497 nt
Filed under: uncultured bacterium
Lineage: Bacteria
Description: partial 16S ribosomal RNA
Rfam family: Bacterial small subunit ribosomal RNA
Source: RNAcentral
GACGAACGCUGGCGGCGUGCCUAAUACAUGCAAGUCGAGCGGACAGACGGGAGCUUGCUCCCUGAUGUUAGCGGCGGACGGGUGAGUAACACGUGGGUAACCUGCCUGUAAAACUGGGAUAACUCCGGGAAACCGGGGCUAAUACCGGAUGGUUGUCUGAACCGCAUGGUUCAGACAUAAAAGGUGGCUUCGGCUACCACUUACAGAUGGACCCGCGGCGCAUUAGCUAGUUGGUGAGGUAACGGCUCACCAAGGCAACGAUGCGUAGCCGACCUGAGAGGGUGAUCGGCCACACUGGGACUGAGACACGGCCCAGACUCCUACGGGAGGCAGCAGUAGGGAAUCUUCCGCAAUGGACGAAAGUCUGACGGAGCAACGCCGCGUGAGUGAUGAAGGUUUUCGGAUCGUAAAGCUCUGUUGUUAGGGAAGAACAAGUGCCGUUCAAAUAGGGCGGCACCUUGACGGUACCUAACCAGAAAGCCACGGCUAACUACGUG